GACGAACGCUGGCGGCGUGCUUAACACAUGCAAGUCGAACGGAAAGGCCCUGCUUUUGUGGGGUGCUCGAGUGGCGAACGGGUGAGUAACACGUGAGUAACCUGCCCUUGACUUUGGGAUAACUUCAGGAAACUGGGGCUAAUACCGGAUAGGAGCUCCUGCUGCAUGGUGGGGGUUGGAAAGUUUCGGCGGUUGGGGAUGGACUCGCGGCUUAUCAGCUUGUUGGUGGGGUAGUGGCUUACCAAGGCUUUGACGGGUAGCCGGCCUGAGAGGGUGACCGGCAACAUUGGGACUGAGCUACGGCCCAGACUCCUACGGGAGGCAGCAGUGGGGAAUAUUGCACAAUGGGCGGAAGCCUGAUGCAGCAACGCCGCGUGCGGGAUGACGGCCUUCGGGUUGUAAACCGCUUUCGCCUGUGACGAAGCGUGAGUGACGGUAAUGGGUAAAGAAGCACCGGCUAACUACGUG
This 468-nucleotide ribosomal RNA is filed under the name uncultured bacterium. RNAcentral's name for it is "partial 16S ribosomal RNA". It matches the Rfam family "Bacterial small subunit ribosomal RNA", at positions 28 to 507 of the family's 1533-position model. The record is from RNAcentral.